Long non-coding RNA from Phyllostomus hastatus (greater spear-nosed bat), 697 nucleotides. RefSeq lists it as uncharacterized. NCBI's taxonomy places the organism in Eukaryota, Metazoa, Chordata, Mammalia, Chiroptera, Phyllostomidae. The record is from RefSeq and is a predicted model, not a curated record. The transcript has 3 exons.
UCCUGUGUCCAUACAGCUUGGCGAAGCUCCUUGCCAUGCUCUGUACUGGGGCCAGUGCACAGCCCCAAGGGCACUGAUGCUCCCAUAUUUGGGGCUCAGAUGAAAGAAAGAGUGGACAGGAUAUCCAGGACCCAUUUCUCACCCAUGUGUCCCUGAACACCCUCCCUGCUCAGCUCAUGGAUCAGCUCAGGUGAACAGGAGAAGUUUCCUGUAGUUGUAUCUAUUCGAGAACUACCUGUUGGAUACCUGGAUUAAGAAGAUCAAGAGGGCAGUGACACAGAGGCCGCCACCUGGUGCUAAUCACCUCCUGCCCGAGAACAUCUGUUUCAUCAAACCAUUGUCAUCUUCUGCCCUUGAUGAAUCUUCAUCCCACCUCAGGCUGCCAGAUUGUAGAAGACAUGAUAUCACACAGUGGGGAAGGUCCCAUGCCACCCUCCAGACAUAUCUGUGUCAUCAGCUCCCUCUUAGCUGGCUGGAAAUGGAAGAGAGGGAUAGGGUGGAGCCCAGAUGCCCAGCCCUAUAAAACUGGGGAACAAGGGACUUAUCAGUGGAGGGAGGAUGAGGGGAUUCCACUUCACAGGGAUCCCUCCAUGGCAUUCUGAAGUGGGUGGCAUCUGGCAUUAAUCCUGGGCAUAGAAAUGACAGGGCCUCCUCUGAAAUCAUGACCAGGUUGUGCUAAGGCCAGCAGUGGCACUGU